Long non-coding RNA from Helianthus annuus (common sunflower), 942 nucleotides. RefSeq lists it as uncharacterized. NCBI's taxonomy places the organism in Eukaryota, Viridiplantae, Streptophyta, Magnoliopsida, Asterales, Asteraceae. The transcript has 5 exons. The record is from RefSeq and is a predicted model, not a curated record.
AAGUCAACAACUGGGAUGUGUAUGGUUUUAGAUUCUCCUUUAGCAUACAACCUUAUCCAGGUCUCAAAUUGAAACCUCGAAGGAAAUGAAGUGGAGCUCGGGUUGGUAAGUCGUUCAUCAUCGAUCAUUAGCAUGCACUAUAUAAUGGGGAGCAUCAAUCAGAAGAUAAAAAAAGAAAAAGGGGCCAAAACUUUAUAUGCUCUAGGAAACCGAAGCAACAAGCACAUAGUGGCAUGGGAAGAAUUUGAAGCGCCCGAUGUCGGCUGAUCUCACGCAUGUGAUGUGACCAAUGAAGAUUAGUCAUUUGUGAUGAUGAUGUGAGGGAAAAUAUACCUGCUAUGGUUUCUUGCAAUGAGGAUACACAAGAAGUAAUUGCUACCAAAAUAUGGUUAAUAAACAGUAAGAUAAAACCUUGUGUUUUAACAAGGUAUUAUUUAAUUUUUUCUAUUGUUUGUGUAAAUAUCUAAACUUGGCUCUUAAAAUUUUUAUUUUUAGUACCAUACAUUGGUGGGAAACUGUUUGAUUUGCUUGAUGACCAUUUUCUUGCUUUUGAAGUCAAUUUGAGUCAGGUUAUGGUGUGCUUGGGCAGGGUUGGAGGUACAAGUAGGAGGGGGUGAAGCUAUGAAAUUUGUUGAAAAAUGGCAAGAACCCAAGGGAUUUAAUUUUUACUAGAUUACAUUGUGGGUACAAUUAAUUUGGUCUGCGCUGUGUUAAUGAAAAGACAUAGAAGCUAAGGAUGAGAAUUGGCAGGGGGCUGGCUUUGAGAGACUAGAGAAAACUUUCAUUUGGAGCAAGACACCAACUGACAUAGUGGAGUAUAUGGCAAGAUGAGUCUGUGUGAGUGCUAAUAGUAUUAAUAUUCCUAGAAGGUCAUUACAAUGGUGGAAGUUUUUAAAGAUUACAAGAGAAUUAUUAUUAUUUUAGCUGCAAUUUGCGUGUUAA